RNAcentral lists this ribosomal RNA (469 nucleotides) under uncultured bacterium. RNAcentral describes it as "bacterial SSU rRNA". It matches the Rfam family "Bacterial small subunit ribosomal RNA", at positions 15 to 507 of the family's 1533-position model. The record is from RNAcentral.
GAUCAUGGCUCAGGAUGAACGCUGGCGGCGUGCCUAACACAUGCAAGUCGUACGAGCUCGAUCUUCGGAACGGGUUAGUGGCGCACGGGUGAGUAACACGUAGGUGACCUACCCCAGAGUGGGGGAUAACUUCUCGAAAGAGAGGCUAAUACCGCAUACACUCGGUCAUUCAUUUGGCCGAGCAAAGCUCUGGCGCUUUGGGACGGGCCUGCGUCCGAUUAGCUAGUUGGUAGGGUAAUGGCUUACCAAGGCUUUGAUCGGUAGCUGGUCUGAGAGGACGAUCAGCCACACUGGCACUGACACACGGGCCAGACUCCUACGGGAGGCAGCAGUGAGGAAUAUUGGGCAAUGGGCGAAAGCCUGACCCAGCAACGCCGCGUGAGGGAUGAAGGCCUUCGGGUUGUAAACCUCUUUUCUGGGAGAAGAGACAAGGACGGUAUCCCAGGAAUAAGUCUCGGCUAACUACGUG